CCUACGGGCGGCAGCAGUGGGGAAUAUUGGACAAUGGGGGCAACCCUGAUCCAGCCAUGCCGCGUGUGUGAAGAAGGCCCUCGGGUUGUAAAGCACUUUCAGUGAGGAAGAACGCCUGGUGGUUAAUACCCAUCAGGAAAGACAUCACUCACAGAAGAAGCACCGGCUAACUCCGUGCCAGCAGCCGCGGUAAUACGGAGGGUGCGAGCGUUAAUCGGAAUUACUGGGCGUAAAGCGCGCGUAGGUGGCUUGAUAAGCCGGUUGUGAAAGCCCCGGGCUCAACCUGGGAACGGCAUCCGGAACUGCCAAGCUAGAGUGCAGGAGAGGAAGGUAGAAUUCCCGGUGUAGCGGUGAAAUGCGUAGAGAUCGGGAGGAAUACCAGUGGCGAAGGCGGCCUUCUGGACUGACACUGACACUGAGGUGCGAAAGCGUGGGUAGCAAACAGGAUUAGAUACCCGGGUAGUC
This 465-nucleotide ribosomal RNA is filed under the name Vreelandella stevensii. RNAcentral's name for it is "partial 16S ribosomal RNA". It matches the Rfam family "Bacterial small subunit ribosomal RNA", at positions 338 to 795 of the family's 1533-position model. The record is from RNAcentral. Lineage: Bacteria; Pseudomonadati; Pseudomonadota; Gammaproteobacteria; Oceanospirillales; Halomonadaceae.